AAUCAACGCUGGCGGCGUGCCUAACACAUGCAAGUCGAACGCGAAAGGGGACUUCGGUUCCUGAGUAGAGUGGCGUACGGGUGAGUAACGCGUGGGUCAUCUGCCCUCGGGUGGGGAAUAACUAAUCGAAAGGUUAGCUAAUACCGCAUAACACAGUGAUGUCAAAGCAGCAAUGUGCCUGAGGAGGAGCCUGCGUCUGAUUAGGUAGUUGGUGGGUAACGGCCUACCAGCCUGCGAUCAGUAGCUGGUCUGANAGGACGGCCAGCCACAAUGGCACUGAAACACGGGACCAUACUCCUACGGGAGGCGAGCAGUGGGGAAUUUU
This 325-nucleotide ribosomal RNA is filed under the name uncultured bacterium. RNAcentral's name for it is "bacterial SSU rRNA". It matches the Rfam family "Bacterial small subunit ribosomal RNA", at positions 32 to 365 of the family's 1533-position model. The record is from RNAcentral.